AUCAUUUCAACAUAUUGUUAGACUACUUGCUACGUGUUAUAGGCCUAUAACCUCAAAAUAAUAUGAGACAAGGCACAAGAGCAUCAGUAUCAGAUGAUAUGAUUAUCAUUUCAGCAAGUUGCUAAUUACUAAUUGUCACAUAUUAUUCUGAGAUCAUAUAACAUCAACAUCAGUCAGACAUUGACGCUGACUCAUAUUUGGCUUUAUCCAUGCCUUCACUAGAAUUAGCCAAGCACUUAAUUAGGAGUAGCCUAUCCGAAUACAUAAACAAAUAAAAAUAUAUAAUCUGACAAAUAUGGCCUAUAAGCAUGCGAACUAUUGAACAGGUUCAUUUGUUGAUAUCCGGGGGAGAUGCAGUCUAAUGGUUCUCAAGCGUUUCAGAGCACUCCGCCUACAUGUGCGGCACAUUAUAUCAACAGCGCCAGUCAAGCCUGUCGGGCUCCGCAGCUCAUGUUAACAGGCAAUUAAUCAGCCGGUUGAUUACAGCGUGCUGCGAGCACUGAAGUUGACUGAGGGCGAUAUGUGCGAUACCAUUCGUCAACGUGUCACAGGAGCUACAAAGGCUCGAGCUGGAAUGGAGCGAGAUGUUUUUGAUUACACGCUUCCAAGGAGAUGAACCAAACAAACGUUGCCAUGAACGAGUGUGUUUGGUUACAAACACACUGAGGGCAGGGGAAGGCUGCCGGAGCCAGGUGCCGGGCUGUUGUGUUUGUCUAUGGUGCGGUUGCCAUGGAAACAGAGGGACCAGCGUCGACGUCCUGUCCGUCCCUCAGGGGAGACUUCGUACACACGCUGUGUGAAAUGCUGAAUAUGACAGUAAAUAGCUUUCAGAAAACGUAUUUUUGACUUUGUUAUUAAGUGUUUGGUGUUAUUAUUUUUUAAAUACAAUUUUACUGCAAUAAUAAUUGUAGUAACUACUAUUUUUGGAGAUUUACCGUA
Molecule: long non-coding RNA, 939 nt
Organism: Sinocyclocheilus anshuiensis
Lineage: Eukaryota; Metazoa; Chordata; Actinopteri; Cypriniformes; Cyprinidae
Exons: 3
Source: RefSeq, a predicted model, not a curated record